Molecule: ribosomal RNA, 293 nt
Filed under: uncultured bacterium
Lineage: Bacteria
Description: partial 16S ribosomal RNA
Rfam family: Bacterial small subunit ribosomal RNA
Source: RNAcentral
GUGCCAGCCGCCGCGGUAAAACGUAGGAGGCGAGCGUUAUCCGGAUUUACUGGGUGUAAAGCGCGAGCAGGCGGCCUGAUAAGUGGUGUGUGAAAGCGCCCUGGCUCAACCGGGCGAGGACAUGCCAGACUGUCGGGCUGGAGGUAGGUAGAGGCGAGUGGAAUUCCGGGUGUAGUGGUGAAAUGCGUAGAGAUCCGGAGGAACACCAGUGGCGAAGGCGACUCGCUGGGCCUGACCUGACGCUCAGACGCGAAAGCAUGGGGAGCGAACGGGAUUAGAUACCCCGGUAGUCC